RNAcentral lists this ribosomal RNA (429 nucleotides) under bacterium. Its description in RNAcentral is "partial 16S ribosomal RNA". It matches the Rfam family "Bacterial small subunit ribosomal RNA", at positions 355 to 776 of the family's 1533-position model. The record is from RNAcentral.
UGGGGAAUUUUGGACAAUGGGGGCAACCCUGAUCCAGCAAUGCCGCGUGUGUGAAGAAGGCCUUCGGGUUGUAAAGCACUUUUGUCCGGGAAGAAAUCGCACCUGAUAAUACCGGGUGUGGAUGACGGUACCGGAAGAAUAAGGACCGGCUAACUACGUGCCAGCAGCCGCGGUAAUACGUAGGGUCCAAGCGUUAAUCGGAAUUACUUGGCGUAAAGCGUGCGCAGGCGGUUGUGCAAGACCGAUGUGAAAUCCCCGGGCUUAACCUGGGAAUUGCAUUGGUGACUGCACGGCUAGAGUGUGUCAGAGGGGGGUAGAAUUCCACGUGUAGCAGUGAAAUGCGUAGAGAUGUGGAGGAAUACCGAUGGCGAAGGCAGCCCCCUGGGAUAACACUGACGCUCAUGCACGAAAGCGUGGGGAGCAAACAGG